ACUCUGGGAUAAGCCUGGGAAACUGGGUCUAAUACCGGAUAUGACCUCGGGAUGCAUGUUCUGGGGUGGAAAGUUUUUCGGUGCAGGAUGAGCCCGCGGCCUAUCAGCUUGUUGGUGGGGUAAUGGCCUACCAAGGCGACGACGGGUAGCCGGCCUGAGAGGGCGACCGGCCACACUGGGACUGAGACACGGCCCAGACUCCUACGGGAGGCAGCAGUGGGGAAUAUUGCACAAUGGGCGCAAGCCUGAUGCAGCGACGCCGCGUGAGGGAUGACGGCCUUCGGGUUGUAAACCUCUUUCACCCAUGACGAAGCGCAAGUGACGGUAGUGGGAGAAGAAGCACCGGCCAACUACGUGCCAGCAGCCGCGGUAAUACGUAGGGUGCGAGCGUUGUCCGGAAUUACUGGGCGUAAAGAGCUCGUAGGCGGUUUGUCGCGUCGUCUGUGAAAUCCCGCAGCUCAACUGCGGGCUUGCAGGCGAUACGGGCAGACUCGAGUACUGCAGGGGAGACUGGAAUUCCUGGUGUAGCGGUGAAAUGCGCAGAUAUCAGGAGGAACACCGGUGGCGAAGGCGGGUCUCUGGGCAGUAACUGACGCUGAGGAGCGAAAGCGUGGGUAGCGAACAGGAUUAGAUACCCUGGUAGUCCACGCCGUAAACGGUGGGCGCUAGGUGUGGGUUUCCUUCCACGGGAUCCGUGCCGUAGCCAACGCAUUAAGCGCCCCGCCUGGGGAGUACGGCCGCAAGGCUAAAACUCAAAGGGAAUUGACGGGGGCCCGCACAAG
RNAcentral lists this ribosomal RNA (782 nucleotides) under Actinomycetes bacterium. RNAcentral describes it as "bacterial SSU rRNA". It matches the Rfam family "Bacterial small subunit ribosomal RNA", at positions 135 to 929 of the family's 1533-position model. The record is from RNAcentral. Lineage: Bacteria; Bacillati; Actinomycetota; Actinomycetes.